Molecule: transfer RNA, 73 nt
Filed under: Candidatus Phytoplasma pruni
Lineage: Bacteria; Bacillati; Mycoplasmatota; Mollicutes; Acholeplasmatales; Acholeplasmataceae
Rfam family: tRNA
About the family: Transfer RNA (tRNA) molecules are approximately 80 nucleotides in length. Their secondary structure includes four short double-helical elements and three loops (D, anti-codon, and T loops).
Source: Rfam by way of RNAcentral
GGCCCGUUAGCUCAGUUGGUAGAGCACUUGACUUUUAAUCAAGGUGUCAAAGGUUCGAGUCCUUUACGGGUCA